GUCUUAUUGAUUAAAAAUAAUAAGUUUAUUCUGCCCUUUGAAAUAAAUUUUUAAAAGGCUGCAGUAUAUUAACUGUACAAAGGUAGCAAAAUCAAUAGUUUUUUAAUUGAAAACUUGAAUGAAAGAAUUAAUAAAAUAUAAUCUGUCUUAAAUUUAAUUUAUUUAAUUUAAAUAAGAAGUUAAAAUGCUUUUAUUAAUUUAUUAGACGAUAAGACCCUAAGAAUUUAAUAAAAUUAAUUUAUUAUUAAAUUUUAUAAUUAUAUUAAUAAUAAAAUUAAUUUUUUUUUAUUGGGAGGGUAAUUAAAUUUAAUGAACUUUAAUUAUUAAAUAACAUUGAUGAAUGAUUAUUUAAGAUAAUAUUAAUAAUUAAAAGAAUAAAUUACCUUAGGGAUAACAGCGUAAUAAUUUUGGAGAGUUCAUAUUAAUAAAAUUGAUUGCGACCUCGAUGUUGAAUUAAAAUAAAAAUUAAGUGAAGAAGCUUAAAAUUUUAGUCUGUUCGACUAUUAAAAUUUUACA
This 516-nucleotide ribosomal RNA is filed under the name Polistes snelleni. Its description in RNAcentral is "partial 16S ribosomal RNA". The record is from RNAcentral. Lineage: Eukaryota; Metazoa; Arthropoda; Insecta; Hymenoptera; Vespidae.